GCCGGAGUGGUGAAACUGGUAGACGCGCUGGACUCAAAAUCCAGUCUAGCUUUGCUAGGUGGGGGUUCGAGUCCCCCCUCCGGCACCA
RNAcentral lists this transfer RNA (88 nucleotides) under Deltaproteobacteria bacterium. RNAcentral describes it as "tRNA-Leu". It matches the Rfam family "tRNA". Rfam says of the family: Transfer RNA (tRNA) molecules are approximately 80 nucleotides in length. Their secondary structure includes four short double-helical elements and three loops (D, anti-codon, and T loops). The record is from RNAcentral. Lineage: Bacteria; Pseudomonadati; Myxococcota; Myxococcia. RNAcentral also lists the same sequence under 3 other names.